This 510-nucleotide ribosomal RNA is filed under the name uncultured bacterium. RNAcentral's name for it is "partial 16S ribosomal RNA". It matches the Rfam family "Bacterial small subunit ribosomal RNA", at positions 28 to 507 of the family's 1533-position model. The record is from RNAcentral.
GACGAACGCUGGCGGCGUGCUUAACACAUGCAAGUCGAACGAAGAGCGACGGAAGCUUGCUUCUAUCAAUCUUAGUGGCGAACGGGUGAGUAACGCGUAAUCAACCUGCCCUUCAGAGGGGGACAACAGUUGGAAACGACUGCUAAUACCGCAUACGAUCUAACCUCGGCAUCGAGGAUAGAUGAAAGGUGGCCUCUACAUGUAAGCUAUCACUGAAGGAGGGGAUUGCGUCUGUUUAGCUAGUUGGAGGGGUAACGGCCCACCAAGGCGAUGAUCAGUAGCCGGUCUGAGAGGAUGAACGGCCACAUUGGGACUGAGACACGGCCCAGACUCCUACGGGAGGCAGCAGUGGGGAAUCUUCCGCAAUGGACGAAAGUCUGACGGAGCAACGCCGCGUGAGUGAUGACGGCCUUCGGGUUGGAAAGCUCUGUUAAUCGGGACGAAAGGCCUUCUUGCGAAUAGUGAGAAGGAUUGACGGUACCGGAAUAGAAAGCCACGGCUAACUACGUG